UGUUUUUUCUGAGAACACUCGUAUCUUAGGAAAAGGUGUAUAUGACUGUUUUGAUGACGUAUCACUAAAGCAGAUGCACACCUAUAUUUUAAAGAAUUGCGAUGAAGUGAUGGAGUUUAUUAGUGAGCAUAAGGAGAUGCUGAUACGAAAUGGAUGUAUUGAUGUGGAGAAGGAGCAUGAUCAAACUUUUACAAAAUGGUUCGACCAACGAAUCACAUUGGCAUCAGAUGAAGAAAAAGAACGAUUUCAUGAGGGUUUAGUACACUUGGCUAGUGGUCCCGAUAAAAGAGUAACUCAUUGUGAGGGUUGUACAGUGAAUGGGUUACGGUUUAAUACUAAGCGACAUGAUUUGGGAAAAAAAAAACUCAAAACUGUGGUGUGGUUGUGAAAGUUGAAGAUGACAUGGGAUUUCAAGAAUACUACGGUGUGUUGGUGGAUAUAGUUCAAUUGGACUAUUUUGGAAAUAAUCAAGUGACAUUGUUCCAAUGUGAUUGGUAUGAAGGCAAGUCAGUGCAAAAGGACAAAUACAAUUAUACAAGUGUCAACUUAUCAAAACCAUGGAAGACAAAUGAGCCAUAUGUGUUGGCAACUCAAGCAGAACAAGUUUAUUAUGUUAAUGACAUAAAACUUGGCAAUGAUUGGAAAGUUGUUAUCCGAGCACAAGCGCGCAAUAUAUGGAAUGUGGUUGAGAAUAAGGAGGAUGAAUGUGUAGUGAGUAAUGAGUCUUAUCAGCAAAAUGAAUCACAUUCUACAGUCGGCAUGAUUCAACCUAAUAAUGAUUUUGUCGAAUGGUGUCGAAAUGAUGUCCCGGGAUCAACCAUCUCCACAACAGCAAUAACACCAAGAAAAGAGCAUCCUCAAGCAGAAGAAGA
This is a long non-coding RNA of Salvia miltiorrhiza (redroot sage), 872 nucleotides long. RefSeq lists it as uncharacterized. The transcript is spliced from 3 exons. The record is from RefSeq and is a predicted model, not a curated record. NCBI's taxonomy places the organism in Eukaryota, Viridiplantae, Streptophyta, Magnoliopsida, Lamiales, Lamiaceae.